RNAcentral lists this ribosomal RNA (254 nucleotides) under uncultured bacterium. RNAcentral's name for it is "partial 16S ribosomal RNA". It matches the Rfam family "Bacterial small subunit ribosomal RNA", at positions 524 to 776 of the family's 1533-position model. The record is from RNAcentral.
GACGUAGGGCGCGAGCGUUGUCCGGAUUUAUUGGGCGUAAAGAGCUCGUAGGCGGUCUGUCGCGUCGAUCGUGAAAACUUGGGGCUUAACCCUGAGCUUGCGGUCGAUACGGGCAUGACUGGAGUUCGGCAGGGGAGACUGGAAUUCCUGGUGUAGCGGUGGAAUGCGCAGAUAUCAGGAGGAACACCGGUGGCGAAGGCGGGUCUCUGGGCAGUAACUGACGCUGAGGAGCGAAAGCGUGGGGAGCGAACAGG